This 468-nucleotide ribosomal RNA is filed under the name uncultured bacterium. RNAcentral describes it as "partial 16S ribosomal RNA". It matches the Rfam family "Bacterial small subunit ribosomal RNA", at positions 28 to 507 of the family's 1533-position model. The record is from RNAcentral.
GACGAACGCUGGCGGCGUGCUUAACACAUGCAAGUCGAACGGACGGGCGAUGAUCUUGUGGGGUGCUCGAGUGGCGAAGGGGUGAGUAAAACGUGAGUAUCCUGUCCUUGUCAUUGGGAUAACUUUAGGAAACUGGGGAGAAAAUCGGGUAGGAGCUCCUGCUGCGCGGGGGGGAUUGGAGAAAUUCGGCGGUAGGGGAUGGACUCGCGGGUUAUGCGCUGGAUGGGCGGGUAGGGGCGGACAAAGGCUAUGACGGGUAGGCGGCCUGGGAGGGUGACCGGCCACAAUGGGACUGCGAGACGCCGCAGAAGCCUACGGGAGGCAGCGGGGGGGAAUAUUGCACAAUGGGCGGAAGCCUGAUGCAGCAACGCCGCGUGCGGGAUGACGGCCUUCGGGUUAUAAACCGCUGUCGCCUGUGACGAAGCGUGAGUGACGGUAAUGGGUAAAGAAGCACCGGCUAACUACGUG